RNAcentral lists this microRNA precursor (108 nucleotides) under Marmota monax (woodchuck). The record is from RNAcentral. Lineage: Eukaryota; Metazoa; Chordata; Mammalia; Rodentia; Sciuridae.
AAAAGGACUACCUUGUAUUCUGGUUAGAAUGCAGAUUCUGAUUCAGUUAUGUAGAGAAAGUGGAGUCUGGGUUUCUGCAUUUUUAAUAAGCUCCCAGCUAAUACCAGU